Amphibalanus amphitrite is the source of this 3233-nucleotide RNA transcript. It is a transcript of the gene named probable ATP-dependent RNA helicase DDX17, with no coding region annotated. Lineage: Eukaryota; Metazoa; Arthropoda; Thecostraca; Balanomorpha; Balanidae. The transcript has 8 exons. The record is from RefSeq and is a predicted model, not a curated record.
CGGUGAAUCGGUCUUUCCGGUGAGUUCCUCCGCAGGGAAGGUUGUCAGACGCCGGGUACUUUGCAUUUUCAAUUUAGCCGAUAAGUAAUCGUUGAAUUGUGACACAAUCGGUUCUGUUUUAUAAAGUUCGACUGAACAAGUACCCGAGCACCACGAAACGUUCUCCAGAUCAACAAGUAAAAAGAGGACUAAUAUUCCAAGAAACUUCAGACACCUAAGGAACUCACUAUGUACGGCAGCAGCUACGGCAGUUACGGCGGCGGGUUCGGCGGCGGACGGAUGGGAAUGAAGAGCAGCCAGCCGGGCGGCAACCUGCGCCGGCCCGACUGGUCGUCCAUCAAGCUGACACCCAUUCAGAAGGACUUCUACCAGCCGCUGCCCCAGGUGCAGGCCCGCAGCCAGUCUGAGAUCGAGGCCUACCGCGCCAGCAAAGAGGUGACGGUGCGCGGUUCGUCCGUGCCCUCACCUAUGCUGGAGUUCAGUGACUGCACCAUGCCGGAUUACAUCCUCAGCACCAUCAAGAAGAACGGUUUCCAGAACCCAACUCCUAUCCAGGCGCAGGGCUGGCCGAUCGCCCUGUCCGGCCGCGACAUGGUCGGUAUCGCUCAGACCGGCUCCGGCAAAACUCUCGGCUACAUGCUGCCUGCCAUCAUCCACAUCAACCACCAGGACUACCUGCGUCCCGGCGACGGCCCCAUCGCGCUCAUCCUGGCUCCGACCCGUGAGCUGGCCCAACAGAUCUCCGAGGUGGCCAACGAGUUUGGCCGCUCGUCCAAACUGAGGCAUACCUGUGUGUACGGAGGUGCUCCCAAGGGCGCUCAGCUUCGGGAUCUGGAGCGUGGUGUGGAGAUCUGCAUCGCGACGCCCGGCCGCCUGAUCGAUUUUCUGGAGAUGGGCAAGACCAACCUGCGUCGCUGCACCUACCUGGUGCUCGACGAGGCUGACAGGAUGCUGGACAUGGGUUUCGAGCCGCAGAUCAGGAAGAUUGUGGAGCAGAUCCGGCCCGACAGGCAGACGCUCAUGUGGAGUGCCACCUGGCCUAAGGAGGUCCGUCGUCUAGCGGAGGAGUUCCUGACCGACUACACCCAGCUGAAUGUGGGAUCCCUGGACCUGUCGGCCAACCACAACAUCCUGCAGAUUGUCGACGUCUGUGAGAGCCACGAAAAGUUCCAGAAGCUGUUCCGCCUGCUGGAAGAAAUCAUGGCCGAGAAGGAGAACAAGACAAUCAUCUUCACCGAGACGAAGCGCGGCUCUGACGAGCUGACCCGCCAGAUGCGCCGCGAGGGAUGGCCGGGCAUGUGCAUCCACGGCGACAAGUCGCAGCAGGAGCGCGACUGGGUGCUACGGGAGUUCCGUAGCGGCCGCUCGCCCAUCCUCGUCGCCACUGAUGUGGCCGCGCGCGGUCUGGAGACUGGCAGCGGUAGUCGUGGAGGCGCUCUGGGCGCCCGCCGGCCCAGCACUGUCGACCCGCCGGUAGGUACCGGGCCGGCUGGACAGGCGAGCCGGGGGCGCAGCCCUCUGCAGCGCCCGUCACCGGCUGACCGGCGCCCGAGCGACCUAGCCAGCUCAGCAGAUACUCCCAGCCACCGCUCUAAAUUGGGCCCGCCGAGGGCGCAGAAUGGCUGCGCCCCCGGCCGAAGACAGAGUGGCAUUUGACGGGAGUGCAGCUGGUGGUCAAACCUCCGCGCCCGCUGGAGAUCUGGGCAGACUGACCGACUGGAAGGGGAACGAGAGAAGAGGGAUGGCGGAGAUGGGAGAAGGAGCUGGGUCGCGGGAAGGAAGUGGAAUGGGGGAAGGAAUGGCAUGGGGUGGAAGGGAAAAUAGGGGUAGAUUUUGGGUAUUUGCUAUUUGUUUUAUAAUUCUGGUGGUGGGUUUCAUUGGAUACUUGGUGGACGAAUUGUGCACUGAUUAUUCUGGGAAGGCACGGGGCAUUAUUCGGGGAGCUGCUGCCUCUACUGGCCGCCGAGGCGGCGGUCGCGGCCGACUGUGCCGCGGCCCGCGCUGGAGGUGCGUGCAGCCGGCCACCGGCGGCCGAGCUGUCAGCCGCCGGAGCUGCGGCCUCUGUCCCGGCCGGUCGGACGCCCAGGCAGAGCGCGAGGGAGGCGGGAGAGAGCGGGCGCGCACGGCUCACGUGAGUAGCAGCGCCGGGCCGCCGCCGGCCGGUAGCAGCUCUCAGCUGGAGACCUUCCCUUGGGACCGGGACGCGCCGGCGGCGGCGGCCCGUGUGCCGGGGGCGCCGAGCGAGAGACGGUAACUGACAGCUGCGAUCGUAACUAUAAACUAUCGUUUGGUGGUCCCCGUAACCGUCGACCGCUUCCUAACAACCCCCACCUCCCAUCUACAACAACCCAUCGCUAACGAACGCUCCCGUGUGCCCCAGACGUGAGCGACGUGAAAUUCGUCAUCAACUUCGACUACCCCAACAACUCCGAGGACUACAUCCACCGGAUCGGCCGCACGGGCCGCAGCAACAACAGCGGCACCGCCUACACGUUCUUCACGCCGGAGAACGCGGCCAAGGCUCGCGACCUGGUCUCUGUGCUGCGAGAGGCCAACCAGGUGGUCAACCCGAAACUGGUCGACCUGCAGAACUCGAGCCGCGCCUACGGCGGCGGACGCAGCCGCUACGGAGGCGGCGGCGGCCGUCGUUCGGGCGGAGGUUUCGGCGGCAGCCGCGGAGGCAGUCGGUGGUGAGCAGUCGCCGCUGACUAGGUCUAGCCAUUAAAUGUUUAAUUUUCACACUCGUCAUGUCUCAUUUCUGACGCGCCGCUGCGUCUCGCGGUGUGCCGCUCGAGUCGUACGGACGCGCCGCACAUUCCCAUUAACAUCUGGAUGGAGAUGAACGGCGGGAUGGGCCGUGCGGCUGCGCCUUACUGCGUGCAGUGGGAAGGCGCCCUACGGUUCUGUCUCGCCUCGUAUAGCGGUGGGAAGCCCUGUCUUGCGUCGUGUGGCGGGCAGGCGCCCCUACGGCCCUGUCCCGCCCUGUAUAGCGCCGGUCGCGUCCACCCGUACGGCGCCCUCUGAUCUUCAGUGGUGUAUUGAUGUGAUGUGGCUCCAACUGAGCCAACCAGCCGGCUGACCGGCUCUCAGAAAGAUGGUCCAAGUACUGUGUCUGAAGGCGCGACCACCGACCGCCGCAGACCUAUAGAGAUAGUAGCUGCUGUUCGCCUGUGCACCGACACCUAACGCAGGCCACUCCGUACAAGGAAAUACACGUUUUAAAACGAAACUGA